This 490-nucleotide ribosomal RNA is filed under the name uncultured bacterium. RNAcentral describes it as "partial 16S ribosomal RNA". It matches the Rfam family "Bacterial small subunit ribosomal RNA", at positions 28 to 507 of the family's 1533-position model. The record is from RNAcentral.
GAUGAACGCUCGCUACAGGCUUAACACAUGCAAGUCGCGGGGCAGCAUGGGGGUUGCUUGCCAUCCCCGAUGGCGACCGGCGCACGGGUGAGUAACGCGUAUUCAACCUGCCCUUCACCACGGGAUAACCCGGCGAAAGUCGGACUAAUACCGUAUGUUGUCCAUUGACGGCAUCCGAUUUGGACGAAAGGCUUGGCGGUGAGGGAUGGGGAUGCGUCCGAUUAGCCAGACGGCGGGGUAACGGCCCACCGUGGCUACGAUCGGUAGGGGUUCUGAGAGGAAGGUCCCCCACACUGGAACUGAGACACGGUCCAGACUCCUACGGGAGGCAGCAGUGAGGAAUAUUGGUCAAUGGGCGUAAGCCUGAACCAGCCAAGUAGCGUGCAGGAUGACGGCCCUAUGGGUUGUAAACUGCUUUUAUGCGGGGAUAAAGUGGCCCACGUGUGGGCUUUUGCAGGUACCGCAUGAAUAAGGACCGGCUAAUUCCGUG